Molecule: long non-coding RNA, 2868 nt
Organism: Lycium barbarum (goji berry)
Lineage: Eukaryota; Viridiplantae; Streptophyta; Magnoliopsida; Solanales; Solanaceae
Exons: 2
Source: RefSeq, a predicted model, not a curated record
CCCCUCUUCUCUCCCUCUCCAUUUUUCAGCCUUUUCAUCAGCCAUAACCAGAGCUUGCACGUAUCAGUUCAAGAAGAGCUUGGGCUUUUGGUUUAUUUUAGAGAUACUUUUGAAAUCUCAGUGUAAAAGGGAGUCAAAAUCUCCGGUUCAAACCAAGAUUCCUCCAUUUCGAGUAAGAUUUUAAAUCAAAUAUUCAGUACAAGACAAUUCUUGGUGAGUUCGAGCAAAGUUGACUCGCGUUUGCCUCUAUACUUCCCUUUAUGUUUUCCUUUUUUAAACAAAGAGAUAUGAUUUUGCUCUGCCCAAAAUAUCACCACGAGAUUGGCCAUUUUCUACCGUUUGCAAUCUUUAUUUUUCAAAUUCCCGCCCAAAAACACCCCAAAACCUUAGCUCGCAGUUAUAAAUAUUGGUCUUGCAUCCAUUUUAGGGGGAAGUUUUUUUUUUUUUCGGAGCCAUCACCCCUCACUCUAAAUUACUAUCGAAACCAAACUUCACUCAAAAAAGGGUAGUUCUGUUUCUGUCAAAACUUUCUGGACUCAAAGGAUUUUCCAAGUUCAAAGUGGUCGAAGUUUGAGCUUAGAUCGGUGACCUAAAAGCCCUAGUUCGCUGCACCCGAAAAAGGUCAGUAAUUCUCCCUUUUCCUUUUAUUUUCUGCUUCAUCUAUGUUUCUUUAAUUGUUGUGUAGGUUUAAAGCGUGCUAAUUAGUCAGAUUAAUUUAGUUUAAUGGAUAAGCUUGUUUGUAUGUUGAUAUGAGUCAGGACUUAAUCAGUCUCGUAUGAUGGUUUAGUUAAUCAUGUUGUUGGGUUAGUUCUGUUUGUUUAUUUAAACAUGUGAUAGUUUAGCUUUAGCUGGUUCAAACAUGUGAGUUAUGUCUUUCUCACUUAGUUCAAGCAGUUUUAAUCAAAUGGUCUUACAUGUUGCUUACCGAGGACAUGACCUUAGAUAGGAGGGUUUGGAGGACCCAAAUUAGGGUAGAAGGCUAGUAGAUAGUCUCGUUAUCCGUUCUUAUUAGUAGUCGCAUUAUUGCAAUAUAAUUUCUUGUGCUCCGAUUUCUGCUAUUAUCUGUUAUUUCCUGUGCUUUGGUUAUCUUGUGUCAUCUGCUCCGAUUUCUGCUAUUAUCUGUUAUUUCCUGUGCUCUGAUUAUCAUGUGUUAUCUGUGUCGCUUGCAUUAUUUCAUUUCCAUAUCGCUUUAAAUCUCUUAUCCGAAUCUCUUAACCUUAUCUGACUUCUUUUUAUGCUUUUAUUGAGCCGGGGGUCUUUCGGAAACAGCCGUCCUACCUUGGUAGGAGUCAGGUCUGCGUACACUCUACCCUCCCCAGACCCCACGAUGUGGGAUUUCACUGGGUUGUUGUUGUUGUUGUUGUAUCGACUCUUUCCCGCAGUAACUUUUCUUCUCUUUAUUUUAAUUCUCAUGGCGGUGAAAGUGUCAUUAGCUCUCGUCGUUUGUUUAAGCCAAAUAUCAGUAUGCUAUGUUUAGACUUCAAUUUGAGUUUUCUGCAACCAGCAGCUAAAUGGAUUUAGGCUUAAUACCUAGAUGGACCCUUAAACUUGACAUGUUUUGUAAGAUAGACAUAUAAACUUACAAGGUGACCAGAUAGACACUUAAACUUACUCAAAGUGUAUUUUUCAAGUUUUCCAGUUGUUUUGAAAAUAAAAACUAUAUUUUUCAAACACUCACAAUUUUCAUGGCCAAACAAGCCCUAAAUAUAUCACAAAAUAUUUUUUUUAAAAUGCAAAAAUAAGGCAAACGCAUAUACAUGAGACUAUAAAUGUGCACUUAAACCAAUAAAUACUCGCUAAUCGCAAUUUUGCAGCUUUCAAUUAACUCGGAUUUUUUUUUACACUUGAAUAAUUAAAAAACAAUAACUUUAACCAAUAAAAAUCCUUAAAAAAAGAAAUUUCAAAUUAAGAAAUUUCCUUUUUUAAGGAUUUUCUUCUCGGCUUUACAGUUUUCUUAAUUUGAAAUUUCUUUUUUUAAGGAUUUUUAUUGGUUAAAGUUAUUGUUUUUUAAUUAUUCAAGUGUAAAAAAAAAACCGAGUUAAUUGAAAGUUGCAAAAUUGCGAUUAGCGAGUAUUUAUUGGUUUAAGUGCACAUUUAUAGUCUCAUUUAUAUGCGUUUGCCUUAUUUUUGCAUUUUAAAAAAAAUAUUUUGUGAUAUAUUUAGGGCUUGUUUGGCCAUGAAAAUUGUGAGUGUUUGAAAAAUAUAGCUUUUGUUUUCAAAACAACUGGAAAACUUGAAAAAUACACUUUGAGCAAGUUUAAGUGUCUAUCUGGUCACCUUGUAAGUUUAUAUGCCUAUCUUACAAAACAUGUCAAGUUUAAGGGUCCAUCUAGGUAUUAAGCCAUGGAUUUAUUAAAACCAAGAUGUAAUUGUCUCUCAAAAUCUCUUUUGAACUAGUCAUGUAGUUAAGUGAUAUUUACUGUAUUUUAUUUAUGUUUGUUGUCUAUUAUAAAAUCCUGUCUAUUAUAAAAUCAUUUUACUGCUCUAAUUCUCUCUUUUCCGAUUUUUUAUUUUGCAUGACCUCCGGAGUUGCGAGGAGUCUCAAACGAGAUUCAAUAUCAUCAGUACAUCCAAGAAACUUGCAUUUCGUCCUCUCAAGCACCUCUCUCGUUCCCUUGUGAUACCUCCGAACAAAAAUGAAAGGAAAUAAUGGGAAAUAUAGAACCCGCGUCUACUUUUCCGCUCGCUCUUUUCCCUCGUCGGAGAAGAAAGAGCACCUGUUGCAUUUUUAACUUGUCCAAAAUUAACUGUCUUUGCUUCUUCUUAUUUGUGACUGUUCAUGUGAUUCUUUUAAACUUAUCGACACUAUGACACUUAGUUUUGGGGGGAUAGAUAUGGGCAUAUUAUUUCAGCGACUGUCAAACGUAA